GAUGAAGAACGUAGCGAAAUGCGAUAAGUAAUGUGAAUUGCAGAAUUCAGUGAAUCAUCGAAUCUUUGAACGCACAUUGCGCCCAUUAGUAUUCUAGUGGGCAUGCCUGUUCGAGCGUCAUUAAUUCCACUUAAGCCCUGCUUAGUGUUGGGAAUCUACUCUAGUGGUGCUACCCUGGAGCUACCCCUGAAAGGGGGCUGGCCCGGUAGCUACCCUGUAGUUCCUCAAAGAUAGUGCGCGGAGUUGCGUGGUCCUCUGAGCUUAGUAACUAUACACCUAGCUUUUGAGUGUCCCGCGGCACCUGCCGUUUAAACCCCAUCUUUUAAUGGUUGACCUCGGAUCAGGUAGGAAUACCCGCUGAACUUAAGCAUAUCAAUAAGCGGAGGA
RNAcentral lists this unclassified non-coding RNA (387 nucleotides) under soil metagenome. Its description in RNAcentral is "partial contains 5.8S ribosomal RNA, internal transcribed spacer 2, and large subunit ribosomal RNA". The stretch from base 1 to 120 matches the Rfam family "5.8S ribosomal RNA", at positions 35 to 154 of the family's 154-position model. The record is from RNAcentral.